RNAcentral lists this long non-coding RNA (1311 nucleotides) under Homo sapiens (human). RNAcentral's name for it is "novel transcript". Lineage: Eukaryota; Metazoa; Chordata; Mammalia; Primates; Hominidae. The record is from RNAcentral.
AUGUGAGCAUGGUGACGUGGUCACACAGCAACAGCAAUAAGGAGCUGAAGCAGGAGAACUCAGCUUUGGCAGAGCAGCUUCAAGUUGUACUGAUUGACAAGGCAGGGAUGCAGUGUGACUUGGAGGAGCUGAAAAAGAAACUGGAACUCACUGAGCUCACGCUUCAACAGGUGAUGGAGUGGCUGAAGUAUCUGCAAAUGGAGAGAGAGCAGUAUGCCGAGUAUCUGCAUGGAGAGAGUGCCAUGUGGUGGCAGAGGAUGCGGGAGAUGUCAGAGCAGGUGCACACGUUGAGGGAGGAGAGAGUGCACAGCAUGAGUCGAGUACAGGAGCUGGAGACGAUCUUGGCUGAACUAAGGAACCAGCUGAACCCCUGCCCCCGGAGCCUCCAGCAGGGCCCUCCGAAGUGGAGCAGAAGCUACAAGCAGAGGCUGAGCACCUGUGGAAGGAGCUGGAGAAUCUGGCAGGACAGCUUCAAGCCCAAGUGGAAGAAAAUGAGGGCUUGAGUCACCUGAACCAAGAGCAGGAAGAGGUUGCUCAGGUUGUUGGAGCAAGAGGAGAAGUUGCUGGAGCAAGAGGAGAGGUUGCUGGAGCAAGAGGAGAGGUUGCUGGAGCAAGAGGAGAGGCUACUGGAGCUGCAGGAGAGCCUGCUAGAGCAGAAGCGGAAGGCCGCUUCCUUUCUCAGCUGAACCCCUACCCGGAGCCCCCAGCAGGGCCCUCCGAGGUGGAACAGCAGCUACAAGCAGAGGCUGAACACCUGCGGAAGGAGCUGGAGAAUCUGGCAGGACAGCUUUAAGCCCAAGUGGAAGAAAAUGAGGGCUUGAGUCGCCUGAACGAAGAGCAGGAAGAGGUUGCUGAGAUUGUUGGAACAAGACGAGAGGUUGUUGGAGCAAGAGGAGAGGUUGCUGGAGCAAGAGGAGAGGUUGCUGGAGCUGCAGGAGAGGCUGCUAGAGCAGAAGCGGAAGGCCGCUUCCUUUCUCAGCUGAACCCCUACUCCCGGAGCCCCCAGCAGGGCCCUCCGAGGUGGAGCAGCAGCUACAAGCAGAGGCUGAACACCUGCGGAAGGAGCUGGAGAAUCUGACAGGACAGCUUUAAGCCCAUGUGCAAGAAAAUGAGGGCUUGAGUCGCCUGAACCAAGAGCAGGAAGAGGUUGCUGGAGCAAGAGGAGAGGAUGCUGGAGCAAGAGGAGAGGCUGCUGGAGCUUGAGUGGAAAGCCGAGCCUUGAGAGGAGCAGGUGGAGGCGCUCAGGCAUACCGUGCGGAACGACCGUACCACCAUCAGGCGCGCGCUCUCCCAGAAACACGAACUGAAGAA